AUGAAAAAUAAAAUAGAUACAAUAUGUAUUAUUGUUUGGAACUUUCAAUGUACUUUAGUUAAAUUUACUUCACAUGUAGUUAGCAGUUCUGUAUUCACUUUGAUCAGAAUAGAUACUAUUUUAUUUAACUUCGUCGUCACUACACCCAUGCUCUCGCGGCCUAGGGAAAACCCUAUUUGUGUUGUUGCCAUGGCUGUUGAGGACGAUUAUGGAGGAGGUGAGGGCGAGAAGAAAUUACAAGAGGAAGGGCGAGGACCAGGUAGCAACGUGGUCCCACUGCUACUUGCAAGGGAUGUAGCUUUCUGA
Molecule: ribosomal RNA, 306 nt
Filed under: Triticum aestivum (bread wheat)
Lineage: Eukaryota; Viridiplantae; Streptophyta; Magnoliopsida; Poales; Poaceae
Description: partial small subunit ribosomal RNA
Source: RNAcentral